AGCAGCCGCGGUAAUUCCAGCUCCAAUAGCGUAUAUUAAAGUUGUUGCAGUUAAAAAGCUCGUAGUUGAAUUUCGGGAUCAGUACGCUGAUCGUGCCUUUGGUAUGUACUGGUGUCACUGAUUCCUCCCUUCUGAAGAACCGUUAUGCCAUUUAUUUGGCGUUGCGGGGAAUCAGGACUGUUACUUUGAAAAAAUUAGAGUGUUUAAAGCAGGCUCGCGCUUGAAUACAUUAGCAUGGAAUAAUGAAAUAGGACGUUUGAUCCUAUUUUGUUGGUUUCUAGGAUCGACGUAAUGAUUAAUAGGGAUAGUUGGGGGCAUUAGUAUUCAAUUGUCAGAGGUGAAAUUCUUGGAUUUAUUGAAGACUAACUACUGCGAAAGCAUUUGCCAAGGAUGUUUUCAUUAAUCAAGAACGAAAGUUAGGGGAUCGAAGACGAUCAGAUACCGUCGUAG
This 450-nucleotide ribosomal RNA is filed under the name uncultured Glomeromycotina. RNAcentral's name for it is "SSU rRNA". It matches the Rfam family "Eukaryotic small subunit ribosomal RNA", at positions 569 to 1023 of the family's 1831-position model. The record is from RNAcentral. Lineage: Eukaryota; Fungi; Glomeromycota.